UACGAAGGGGGCUAGCGUUGUUCGGAUUUACUGGGCGUAAAGCGCACGUAGGCGGAUCUUUAAGUCAGAGGUGAAAUCCCAAGGCUCAACCCUGGAACUGCCUUUGAUACUGUCGAUCUGGAGUAUGGAAGAGGUGAGUGGAAUUCCGAGUGUAGAGGUGAAAUUCGUAGAUAUUCGGAGGAACACCAGUGGCGAAGGCGGCUCACUGGUCCAUUACUGACGCUGAGGUGCGAAAGCGUGGGGAGCAAACAGG
RNAcentral lists this ribosomal RNA (253 nucleotides) under uncultured bacterium. RNAcentral describes it as "partial 16S ribosomal RNA". It matches the Rfam family "Bacterial small subunit ribosomal RNA", at positions 524 to 776 of the family's 1533-position model. The record is from RNAcentral.